RNAcentral lists this ribosomal RNA (741 nucleotides) under Triticum aestivum (bread wheat). RNAcentral describes it as "partial small subunit ribosomal RNA". Lineage: Eukaryota; Viridiplantae; Streptophyta; Magnoliopsida; Poales; Poaceae. The record is from RNAcentral.
AUGGCAAUUGUACACACAUACGGGAAGCUUGACGUUUUCUUGACGAUGACCUGCAACCCUAACUGGGAAGAGAUAACAAAUGAGUUGUUUCCUGGUCAAACAGCGCAAGACCGCCCUGAUCUUGUGGCUCGCGUGUUCCAUGGCAAGCUAGAGGCUAUGAAAGAGAUGUUGUUCAAGAAGCACAUACUGGGUGUUGUUGUCGUAUAUGUAUACGUAGUCGAGUUUCAGAAGAGGGGCCUCCCCCACGCACACUUUCUGUUGAUCAUGGAUUCAACAUAUAAGCUGGUUGUUCCUGAGCAGUACGACCGACUCAUUUCCGCCGAGCUCCCAGACAAGCAGAAGUAUCCACAACUCUACGCAUUAGUAGUCAAACAUAUGAUGCACGGACCGUGCGGUGCUCUCAACCCAAAAAAUGUGUGCAUGCAACAAAACGAGUGCAAGUGCAGAUACCCGCGGCCGUUCAAUGAAAACACGGCACAAGGCAAGGACUCAUACCAAGUUUAUCGGCGUAGAGACGUGAUACGUCCAUUUUGCAUCAUGCUUUUAUAUCGAUAUUUAUCGCAUUAUGGACUGUUAUUUCACUUUAUAUCACAAUACUUAUGGCUAUUCUCUCUUAUUUUACAAGGUUUACAUAAGGAGGGAGAAUGCUGGCAGCUGCAAUUCUGGGCUGGAAAGGGAGCAAAUAUUAGAGACCUAUUCUGCGCAACUCCAAAAGUCCUAAAACUCCACGGAACGUCUUAA